UGGGGAAUUUUGGACAAUGGGCGAAAGCCUGAUCCAGCAAUGCCGCGUGUGUGAAGAAGGCCUUCGGGUUGUAAAGCACUUUUGUCCGGAAAGAAAUCCUUGGCUCUAAUACAGUCGGGGGAUGACGGUACCGGAAGAAUAAGCACCGGCUAACUACGUGCCAGCAGCCGCGGUAAUACGUAGGGUGCAAGCGUUAGUCGGAAUUACUGGGCGUAAAGCGUGCGCAGGCGGUUUGCUAAGACCGAUGUGAAAUCCCCGGGCUCAACCUGGGAACUGCAUUGGUGACUGGCAGGCUAGAGUAUGGCAGAGGGGGGUAGAAUUCCACGUGUAGCAGUGAAAUGCGUAGAGAUGUGGAGGAAUACCGAUGGCGAAGGCAGCCCCCCUGGGCCAAAUACUGACGCUCAUGCACGAAAAGCGUGGGGAGCAAACAGGAUUAGAUACCCUGGUAGUCCACGCCCUAAACGAUGUCAACUAGUUGUUGGGGAUUCAUUUCCUUAGUAACGUAGCUAACGCGUGAAGUUGACCGCCUGGGGAGUACGGUCGCAAGAUUAAAACUUAAAUGAAUUGACGGGGUCAUAGCUGUUUCCU
Molecule: ribosomal RNA, 588 nt
Filed under: uncultured bacterium
Lineage: Bacteria
Description: partial 16S ribosomal RNA
Rfam family: Bacterial small subunit ribosomal RNA
Source: RNAcentral